Molecule: small nuclear RNA, 22 nt
Filed under: Arabidopsis thaliana (thale cress)
Lineage: Eukaryota; Viridiplantae; Streptophyta; Magnoliopsida; Brassicales; Brassicaceae
Description: snRNA_14442
Source: RNAcentral
GUUUGUCAAAAUCUAUUGAUCA